Molecule: long non-coding RNA, 373 nt
Filed under: Elaeis guineensis (African oil palm)
Lineage: Eukaryota; Viridiplantae; Streptophyta; Magnoliopsida; Arecales; Arecaceae
Description: long non-coding RNA (EGUI_LNC011046)
Source: RNAcentral
GCCGAAGAGUGGUACGCAUCUCCACUCGGUCUUUGUAUGCUCCUCAUCCUCAGAUAGGUUGAGUGAGAGGUCGGUAAAAGUUAACGUCGGCCAACGGACUUUCCUUAUCCUUGAACAAGCCGAAACAGAGACCUUAAAAUGCCGAUUGGCCACAGCACUCUUCCUCCUAUUGCAAAAUCUUAAAUAUCGACAUCAGUGGUCAGCAAAAGCUGAUAGCAAAGUACUUUAUUUUUGGACUAAGACAAAAUGGAUGAUGACGCACCAAACUCCAAACAAAGCUCAAUGUAACUUUGGACAAAACCCUCAAAUACCAAAGACGAGAAUGAAAAUUCGUAGAAGGCCAAAUUCAAUUAUAAAAAGAUCGGUCCUCGAG